AGCGAACGCUGGCGGUAGGCCUAACACAUGCAAGUCGAACGGCAGCACAGUAAGAGCUUGCUCUUACGGGUGGCGAGUGGCGGACGGGUGAGGAAUACAUCGGAAUCUACUUUUUCGUGGGGGAUAACGUAGGGAAACUUACGCUAAUACCGCAUACGACCUACGGGUGAAAGCAGGGGAUCUUCGGACCUUGCGCGAUUGAAUGAGCCGAUGUCGGAUUAGCUAGUUGGCGGGGUAAAGGCCCACCAAGGCGACGAUCCGUAGCUGGUCUGAGAGGAUGAUCAGCCACACUGGAACUGAGACACGGUCCAGACUCCUACGGGAGGCAGCAGUGGGGAAUAUUGGACAAUGGGCGCAAGCCUGAUCCAGCCAUACCGCGUGGGUGAAGAAGGCCUUCGGGUUGUAAAGCCCUUUUGUUGGGAAAGAAAAGCAGCAGGUUAAUACCCCGCUGUUUUGACGGUACCCAAAGAAUAAGCACCGGCUAACUUCGUG
This 492-nucleotide ribosomal RNA is filed under the name uncultured bacterium. RNAcentral's name for it is "partial 16S ribosomal RNA". It matches the Rfam family "Bacterial small subunit ribosomal RNA", at positions 29 to 507 of the family's 1533-position model. The record is from RNAcentral.